CACAUUUUAUGUAGUUUACAUUUUCAAUUCUGCAGAAUUUCAUCACAGAAGGGGAAAAAUGUAUGCACCUCCACAGUACCAAGAAACAAGCUAUGUGGAACACGUUCGCAGACGCCACCAAGAAAAGGGAUGCCUUUACGCUUGUUUGUUCGCCUUGUGCUGCUGCUUCUGCUGCUACGAGAGCUGUGAGUGCUGUUUGGAUGUGUUAUGUUGCUGCUGCCCCUAGAUAAGGUGUAUCUAUCUAAAAGUAAUAAUUACAGAUGAAGACGAGACUUUCUGAUAUGAGUGUGUUACUUUUGACUUACGGUUGUGAUAAGGUUUUUCCUUAGAAAAUUACUUUAUUAUCAAAGAGGCAUAGACCUAACAAGUACCAUUUUUUGUGUUCUUUUGAUGUUGAAUAUUUUAAUCUAUAGCGGAAGUUACUCCAGUGAUAAUGUAAUGGUUAUAAAUGAAGAAUAAAGUAUGAAUAUUUUGGGGA
This is an RNA transcript of Vigna radiata var. radiata (mung bean), 478 nucleotides long. RefSeq lists it as uncharacterized. The transcript is spliced from 2 exons. Lineage: Eukaryota; Viridiplantae; Streptophyta; Magnoliopsida; Fabales; Fabaceae. The record is from RefSeq and is a predicted model, not a curated record.